Molecule: ribosomal RNA, 468 nt
Filed under: uncultured bacterium
Lineage: Bacteria
Description: partial 16S ribosomal RNA
Rfam family: Bacterial small subunit ribosomal RNA
Source: RNAcentral
GACGAACGCUGGCGGCGUGCUUAACACAUGCAAGUCGAACGGAAAGGCCCUGCUUUUGUGGGGUGCUCGAGUGGCGAACGGGUGAGUAACACGUGAGUAACCUGUCCCUGACUUUGGGAUAACUUCAGGAAACUGGGGCUCUUACCGGAUAUGAGCUCUUGCUGCAUGGUGGGGGUUGGAAAGUUUCGGCGGUUGGGGAUGGACUCGCGGCUUAUCAGCUUGUUGGUGGGGUAGUGGCUUACCAAGGCUUUGACGGGUAGCCGGCCUGAGAGGGUGACCGGCCACAUUGGGACUGAGAGACGGACCAGACUCGAACGGGAGGCAACGGUGGAGAGUAUUACACAGUAGGCGGGAGCCAGAUGUGACAACGCCGCGUGCGGGAAGACGGGCUUCGGGUUGUAAACCGCUUUCGCCUGUGACGAGGCGUGAGUGACGGUACUGGGUAAAGAAGCACCGGCUAACUACGUG